RNAcentral lists this long non-coding RNA (762 nucleotides) under Panax ginseng (ginseng). RNAcentral's name for it is "long non-coding RNA (PGIN_LNC018197)". Lineage: Eukaryota; Viridiplantae; Streptophyta; Magnoliopsida; Apiales; Araliaceae. The record is from RNAcentral.
GGGCGCGAGCGCGCCCAUUUUUGAGAAGGAACCUGGCGCGGCCGUGCUAGGUCAGGAAUUUGGAAAUUUUGGAAAGUUUCUAAAGGCAUAUUUUGGCAGAAUUCUACAUGGAAUGUGAUGAAUGGGUAAUAUACCCAUAAAUUAGGUAUAAUUGGAUUUGAUAUAUUGAUAUUUUUAAGUGUAUUAGGGUGGUUUUUAUUUGUUUUAUUGUUAUUUUGUAGGUAGGGAUAAAGCAGGGGCAAUUUGGUAAAAUCAGCAUCAUUAAUGGCAAAGUGGUAAUAUUAUGUAAGGGUCUAGCGCCAAGGCGCUCAAAUAGAGAAGGAACCCAUCACCGGGGCGCUGGGCAUCAGGUGGUUGUGCAGAUUUUGGUAGCAAGAAAAGGAAAAAAACAUAGAUUUCUAUUCCAACUAGGAUUUGGUCAAUGGGCUGACUGGUUGAACACCUUAAGUUAUAAAUAGAGAGGAGGCUAAUGAGGGGAGAAUAUAUAUACAUUGGGACAAAAAACUGAAUUGUUGAAUUGAAGAUUUCAGAAGAUCAUGGCAAGAAGAAUCAAAUUGAAGAUUGAAGAUUGGAGAGCUUCCAUAGAGUUUUUCUUUAGUUCUCUUAUUCAGUUUGUAAUUAAAUUGUGGUGGUUAUUAUGGGAUUUUUGGUUUUAAAUUUCAGCAUGAACUAAUUUUUUAAUUAAGGCUACAAUUGAACCUUUUAUGCUUAUGAAUUGAUUGCCUGUAUUAAUCUAGUUAUUGAUUCAAAUUGAGUUGUCUA